RNAcentral lists this ribosomal RNA (497 nucleotides) under uncultured bacterium. Its description in RNAcentral is "partial 16S ribosomal RNA". It matches the Rfam family "Bacterial small subunit ribosomal RNA", at positions 28 to 507 of the family's 1533-position model. The record is from RNAcentral.
GAUGAACGCUGGCGGCGUGCCUAAUACAUGCAAGUCGAGCGAACAGAUAAGGAGCUUGCUCCUUUGACGUUAGCGGCGGACGGGUGAGUAACACGUGGGUAACCUAUCUAUAAGACUGGAAUAACUCCGGGAAACCGGGGCUAAUGCCGGAUAACAUGUUGAACCGCAUGGUUCUACAGUGAAAGGCGGCUUUGCUGUCACUUAUAGAUGGACCCGCGCCGUAUUAGCUAGUUGGGGAGGUAGCGGCUCACCCAGGCAACGAUGCGUAGCCGACCUGAGAGGGUGAUCGGCCACACGGGAACUGAGACACGGCCCAGACUCCGACGGGAGGCAGCAGUAGGGAAUCCUCCGCAAUGGAGGAAAGCCUGACGGAGCAACGCCGCGUGAGUGAUGAAGGUCUUCGGAUCGUAAAACUCUGUUGUUAGGGAAGAACAAAUACGUAAGUAACUGUGCGCGUCUUGACGGUACCUAAUCAGAAAGCCACGGCUAACUACGUG